AGACGUUGUGGAUUUUAGGACGAUAUCGUCUUGCUUUUUAAAGGACUCAAACACCACUGGAGAGCUCAUUCGAGGAGGUUGAAGAUGACAUUACAUUGUCCGCGUCGAUGACGGUGGGGUUAAUUAGGGGUUGGUCAUUGUGACGAGUAGUAUUACUUACGGUUGAUGCAACCAUGCUCAUUCGUGAGACUAUAUAGGGAUGAUGAGGGGUGAUUAGCUAACGUGGGAUGCUCCAGAUCCAUUGAUGGAAAAUGAUUGAUUUGGUUGGUGAUUGAAUUGAUGACGAUGAACAGCUAGUCUGCAAAUAUAUAGCGCAAGAAUAGUAGGCGUUGAAAUGAAAUUUUUUAGAAUUUCAAAGAUGUAGCUAUCCUCUUCAAAGAUGCAAUUGAUGAAAACCUAGUGCGAUCAGAAAAUCGGGUCAAAGAUGCAACUAUCCUCUUCAAAGAUACAAUUUAUUAUACAGUAAUCGAAGUUCAACAUUUCCCUAGCUAUACAUUACACAUGAUUGAAUUUAGGAAAUUACACGGUGCAUGUUUCGCUUUUAGGUUUUUUUGGUGUAAUUACGGUGUCUAUCACCGACAGAAAUAACCCAUUCCUUCGUCGUGGUGCUUGCACAAGGCGGUUAAUAGCUGGGCACAAGGUGUACUCCAUUCCCAUGGGCAAGAACUAACUCCCCACCUCAUGGUUAAGGGACAAGUUGAGAAAUCAAAAAUGCCACACCUUGUGGUUUUCGAUUUUAGGUUUUUGUUAAUAGGAAUUAAAAAACAAAAACUUUUGUUAUAUGCACGAUUUAAUUGGAAAUGACGUAGACCAUCAAGUCGAAAAAUAAAUUACAUGAUUUAGCCAUUAUAACCUCCUAGAACGCGUGACGCAUGCUAGGAUGCACCGCGCGUCCUAGAAAGCUUCUAAUGACUCUAUUCUAACGACUGUUAUCAGACCGUUGGAAGCUCUCUAAAAACCGCAGCGCAUCCUAGGAUACGCCGCACGUUUUAGGGAGCUUCCUCUGGAUUUAUAAAUAAACCCCU
RNAcentral lists this long non-coding RNA (1025 nucleotides) under Linum usitatissimum (flax). RNAcentral's name for it is "long non-coding RNA (LUSI_LNC002702)". The record is from RNAcentral. Lineage: Eukaryota; Viridiplantae; Streptophyta; Magnoliopsida; Malpighiales; Linaceae.